ACGUAGGAACCGAGCGUUGUCCGGAUUUACUGGGCGUAAAGUGCGCGUAGGCGGUCUGUUAAGUCUCAUGUGAAAUCUCCCGGCUCAACUGGGAGGGGUCAUGGGAUACUGGCAGACUGGAGUGCAGUAGAGGAAAGCGGAAUUCCCGGAGUAGUGGUGGAAUGCGUAGAUACCGGGAGGAACACCAGAGGCGAAGGCGGCUUUCUGGGCUGUAACUGACGCUGAGGCGCGAAAGCGUGGGUAGCAAACCGG
Molecule: ribosomal RNA, 252 nt
Filed under: uncultured bacterium
Lineage: Bacteria
Description: partial 16S ribosomal RNA
Rfam family: Bacterial small subunit ribosomal RNA
Source: RNAcentral